GCGGACAUGGCGGAAUGGCAGACGCGCUAGAUUCAGGGUCUAGUGGCCGAAAGGCUGUGGAGGUUCAAGUCCUCUUGUCCGCACCA
This 86-nucleotide transfer RNA is filed under the name Candidatus Auribacterota bacterium. RNAcentral's name for it is "tRNA-Leu". It matches the Rfam family "tRNA". From Rfam's summary of the family: Transfer RNA (tRNA) molecules are approximately 80 nucleotides in length. Their secondary structure includes four short double-helical elements and three loops (D, anti-codon, and T loops). Lineage: Bacteria; Pseudomonadati; Candidatus Auribacterota. The record is from RNAcentral.